Molecule: long non-coding RNA, 928 nt
Organism: Panonychus citri (citrus red mite)
Lineage: Eukaryota; Metazoa; Arthropoda; Arachnida; Trombidiformes; Tetranychidae
Exons: 3
Source: RefSeq, a predicted model, not a curated record
GGAUAAAUCGUUGGUUAAUUGUUGGUUUUGAUUGAGUGAUGGUGAUGUUGAUUGUUGUGUGGGUUGUAAGGGUGUUUUUUUUAACUGAAUUGUUCAGUUUCGUCCAAAUAGGAAUUCAUCGGGAUCGGUGGUGAUUCUGGAAUCGGUUAAUGGAUUAAUAGAGCUUGGGGUUAAUUGUGAUGAUAAUUGACUAUUGCUGGCACCAGGCAAUGAUGUUGAUUGAUGUUGAUUGAAAUGAUGAGCUGGUUUUUGUCGAUUCUCUUUUCGCAACUGAGUAAACGAUUCACAUUGUGUAUCAUCUUCCUCUUUGAUAAUUGAUUCUUCCCAUAGAGACUUUUCUAGUGACUGUUUCUAAAAUUUAACCCAUAAAUCAGGUGAAUCUUUAAUUGUUGAUGUUAAUCUAAUUUGAUUGGCACUUUUGGAACUAGAUUCAGUCUUUGGCACAUCGAUUGGACUUUAAAUGGAAACCAAGUCCAGCGAUCGAGGAUCUGGACGUUUCUGCGAUCUCACCAACCGAAAAACCAACACCCACAUUGUUUUUAGUUUUCAAGAAAUUACCCAAAGAGUGAAUGGAAGCUAAAAACGACAUUACUUAUGUGGAUACCUAAUAGUUCAGCCUCCAGUGAAUCUCAUAAGAAUGGCGGAAACAUAAUUUGGCCCUGGUUGUCGUUUUUCGUUGGAAAGUUUUACCUUUGGGAAUUAAACUCAUUUGUUUCCUCGAAAUUUUUAUCAACCUUGAAUCAAAUUUUGACGAAUCAUCAGUUUUAAGGUCACUAAAUGGGUCAAUCUAAUGUAAGAUCAUUUCGUCUUGGAAACAAAUUUGCAGAGUUUCAAACUUUGUCAAAUUUUUUCAUUAAUAUUUAAGAUUUUCGAAUUUAUUUUUAUUCUGGUUUUUUUUCUUAUUCUAGUUGAAUGGAAGGCAGACCGC